RNAcentral lists this ribosomal RNA (407 nucleotides) under uncultured bacterium. RNAcentral describes it as "partial 16S ribosomal RNA". It matches the Rfam family "Bacterial small subunit ribosomal RNA", at positions 30 to 526 of the family's 1533-position model. The record is from RNAcentral.
AUUGAACGCUGGCGGCAGGCCUAACACACGCAAGUCGAGCGGCUCGGCGGAAGGGUGAGUAAUGACAAGGACUCUGCCUGGUAGUGGGGGAUAACGUCCGGAAACGGGCGCUAAUACCGCUUCCUAUCACCUGCGCCUCGGUCGCAUUAGCUAGUUGGUGGGGUAAAGGCCAACCAUGGCGACGACCCGUAACUGGUCUGAGAGGAUGAUCAGUCAGACUGGAACAGAGACCCGGUCGAGACUCCUACGGGAGGGGGCAGUGGGGAAGAUUGUACAAUGGGGGAAAGCCUGAUGCAGCCAUGCCGCGGGUGUGAAGAAGGUCUUCGGAUUGUAAAGCACUUGAAGUUGGGAGGCGUUGCCAACAGAAUAAGCACCGGCGAACCGCGUGCCAGCUGCCGAGGUAAUUC